UGGCGGCAUGCUUAACACAUGCAAGUCGAACGGCAGCACGGGCUUCGGCCUGGUGGCGAGUGGCGGACGGGUGAGUAACACGUAGGAAUCUGCCUGGUAAUGGGGAUACCCGGGGAAACUCGGGCUAAUACCGCAUACGCUCUACGGAGGAAAGCGGGGGGAUCUUCGGACCUCGCGUUAUCAGAUGAGCCUGCGUCCGAUUAGCUAGUUGGCGGGGUAAAGGCCCACCAAGGCAACGAUCGGUAGCUGGUCUGAGAGGACGAUCAGCCACACUGGAACUGAGACACGGUCCAGACUCCUACGGGAGGCAGCAGUGGGGAAUAUUGGACAAUGGGCGCAAGCCUGAUCCAGCAAUGCCGCGUGUGUGAAGAAGGCCUGCGGGUUGUAAAGCACUUUAAGCAGGAAAGAAGGCUUCAGGGUUAAUACCCUUGGGGAUUGACGUUACCUGCAGAAUAAGCACCGGCUAACUCCGUGCCAGCAGCCGCGGUAAUACGGAGGGUGCGAGCGUUAAUCGGAAUUACUGGGC
Molecule: ribosomal RNA, 526 nt
Filed under: uncultured bacterium
Lineage: Bacteria
Description: bacterial SSU rRNA
Rfam family: Bacterial small subunit ribosomal RNA
Source: RNAcentral